UCCCUCAUAGCUCAGUUGGUAAAGAAUCUGUCUGCAAUGCAGAAGACCCAGGGUCAAUACCUGGGGCAGGAA
This 72-nucleotide transfer RNA is filed under the name Ovis aries (sheep). It matches the Rfam family "tRNA". Rfam says of the family: Transfer RNA (tRNA) molecules are approximately 80 nucleotides in length. Their secondary structure includes four short double-helical elements and three loops (D, anti-codon, and T loops). The record is from Rfam by way of RNAcentral. Lineage: Eukaryota; Metazoa; Chordata; Mammalia; Artiodactyla; Bovidae.